UGCUUUUAGGAAUAAAGCUUUUUCUGAGAGCAAAGAAAUGUUGGACUACUAACACUGCUUUCCUGUUCUUUCAGAAGACUUGAGAUGACUUGGCAUUCUUUUUUCAUUGGCUGGAAAACAGGCCCAGGAAACCUAGAGUCCUGAUGACAUUUCUUAAGGAUUUGAUUGAGCCAGUUACAAGCCUGUGGAAGAGAGGUUCCAUGGCUAUGGGAAUGAAUCCUGAUAAUGAAAGGAUGUGUUGGAGGGAUUGGCACUGGCUUACAAACUGUCUGGUGCUAAAGGAGAAAUUCCAGCUUUCACCCUGCUGCAGAGGGAGCAGAUGAUGGCACACUUGAGAGGAAGGUGUCCAAAGGGCUCUUGAGAAUGAUGAUUGGGGUGACUUGGAUGUGCACAGUGCUGCUACCUAAAGUCCUGAACUUUGACUGAACUUGGAAUUAAAGCAGUUUCUGAAGCAAAGCUAUGCUCCUACCUCAGGCAAGGACUCUGAUCUGCCUAAAGACAAACUGGCACAAGACAGCAGUGGAAGAACAGGAAUUUGGAAGGGUAAGGAGCUAUGAGCUUUUGGCAGAUUUCUAGUACAAGACAUGCACGCAAAGAAAUGUCAGACCCCUGUGGAUUGUGGAUUUCUAAUCAAUAAAUAUUGUUGUAUGAAA
Long non-coding RNA from Alligator sinensis (Chinese alligator), 653 nucleotides. RefSeq lists it as uncharacterized. The transcript is spliced from 12 exons. The record is from RefSeq and is a predicted model, not a curated record. NCBI's taxonomy places the organism in Eukaryota, Metazoa, Chordata, Crocodylia, Alligatoridae.